CGUGAGGGAAGAAGGUCUUCGGAUUGUAAACCUCUUUCAGCAGGGACGAAGCGAAAGUGACGGUACCUGCAGAAGAAGCACCGGCUAACUNUGUGCCAGCAGCCGCGGUAAUACAUAGGGUGCAAGCGUUGUCCGGAUUUAUUGGGCGUAAAGAGUUCGUAGGCGGUUUUUCGCGUCGGAUGUGAAAACUCAGGGCUCAACCCUGAGCCUGCAUUCGAUACGGGAAGACUCGAGGACGGCAGGGGAGACUGGAACUUCUGGUGUAGCGGUGGAAUGCGCAGAUAUCAGAAAGAACACCAAUGGCGAAGGCAGGUCUCUGGGCCAGAUCCUGACAGCUCAGGAACGAAAGCGUGGGGAGCUAAACAGGAUUAGAUACCCGCGUAGUCCGGUC
RNAcentral lists this ribosomal RNA (391 nucleotides) under actinobacterium SCGC AAA027-E22. RNAcentral describes it as "bacterial SSU rRNA". It matches the Rfam family "Bacterial small subunit ribosomal RNA", at positions 400 to 800 of the family's 1533-position model. The record is from RNAcentral. Lineage: Bacteria; Bacillati; Actinomycetota; Actinomycetes.